AGUGAACGCUGGCGGUAGGCCUAACACAUGCAAGUCGAACGGCAGCACAGUAAGCGCUCGCUCUUACGGGUGGCGACUGACGGACGAGUGAGGCAUACAUCAGCAUCUACUUUUUCGUGGGUGACAACGUAGGACAACUUACGCUAAUACCGCAUACGAUCUACGGGUGAAAGCAGGAGAGCUUCGGACCUUUCGCGACAGAAUGAGCCGAUGUCGGAUUAGCUAGUUGGCGGGGUAAAGGCACACCAAGGCGACGAUCCGUAGCUGGUCUGAGAGGAUGAUCAGCCACACUGGAACUGAGACACGGUCCAGACUCCUACGGGAGGCAGCAGUAGGGAAUAUUGGGCAAUGGGCGCAAGCCUGAUCCAGCCAUGCCGCGUGAGUGAUGAAGGUCUUCGGAUUGUAAAGCUCUGUUGUUGGGAAAGAACAGCAGCAGGUUAAUACCCCGAUGUUCUGACGGUACCCAAAGAGUAAGCACCGGCUAACUACGUG
Molecule: ribosomal RNA, 492 nt
Filed under: uncultured bacterium
Lineage: Bacteria
Description: partial 16S ribosomal RNA
Rfam family: Bacterial small subunit ribosomal RNA
Source: RNAcentral